RNAcentral lists this long non-coding RNA (854 nucleotides) under Pandoravirus dulcis. RNAcentral's name for it is "putative ncRNA". The record is from RNAcentral.
GCACUGGCGCACAACCGGCCGCCUGCGGCAGGGGCCCCUGGAAGGGCCGUCGCCGUGUUGACCGAGUCCUUUUCGCCACAGUCGGCGGCGUCCUUGUCGAGCCAGAAAAGGCGCCACCGGGCGUAGGUCGACACGAUGGCCAGCGGCUCUGCGACGCCAUGGUAGGCCGCGAGCAUGCGCAGCACAUCCGCCACAUCGACACACACGUCGGGGUCGUCGAGGACGUCGCCGCGCCAGUGUUCCUCACACACGAGGACGGCGCCCAAGAACGCAACGUCCUCGGAUGGAUCAACGUCGGCACGGUAGGUAAAGAGCACGUCGCUUCGUCCGCGAAAGAGGUCACGCCCUUGCGUCCAAUACUGGACCUCGCCGCACAGUCCCGCGUCGGCCGUGAUGUCGCGAAGGCCGUACAACACCAAGUCCCGCGUUGACUCGUGCAACUGGGAGGUGCGGCCGUAGCCGGCAAACAUCCAUGUGCAGGACGUAUGCCGUUGGCACAGGCGCACGCCAUCGUCGACGGCAAAGGGACGCUCGGCGACCGUCGGAGCGGCCUGUGCUUGUCCGUUUGACUUUGCAGGGCGAAAGCGGCGGUGCCGCGCCAUCUCGGGCAGGCCGAUCAGUCCCACGCUCGUGCUGCCAAUGGCCUUGGCUAGCGGCCGUGUUGCGCACGCGCACACACGAAACCGAAAGAAAAGAAAGACACCGUCAGCCCGUGGCCGCACAGCGCCACCGCUAUGAAAGAAAAGAAAAAACCAUUAAAAAAAGAGAAAAGAAUGGAAAAAAUAGAAAACGCAAGCAGCGGGCAUCGAUGCCGGCGCGCAGAGCGCCACGGCCAUGACACCCACAAACUCCAC